RNAcentral lists this ribosomal RNA (430 nucleotides) under uncultured bacterium. RNAcentral describes it as "bacterial SSU rRNA". It matches the Rfam family "Bacterial small subunit ribosomal RNA", at positions 355 to 776 of the family's 1533-position model. The record is from RNAcentral.
UGGGGAAUAUUGCGCAAUGGGGGAAACCCUGACGCAGCGACGCCGUGUGAGGGAUGAAGGUCUUCGGAUCGUAAACCUCUGUCAGAAGGGAAGAACCGCAUAGAGUUGAAUAAGCUUUAUGCCUGACGGUACCUUCAGAGGAAGCACCGGCUAACUCCGUGCCAGCAGCCGCGGUAAUACGGAGGGUGCAAGCGUUAAUCGGAAUCACUGGGCGUAAAGCGUGCGUAGGCGGCUUGGUCAGUCAGGCGUGAAAGCCCUCGGCUCAACCGGGGAAUUGCGUUUGAUACUGCCAGGCUUGAGUACCGGAGGGGGUGGCGGAAUUCCAGGUGUAGGAGUGAAAUCCGUAGAUAUCUGGAGGAACACCGGUGGCGAAGGCGGCCACCUGGACGGUAACUGACGCUGAGGCACGAAAGCGUGGGGAGCAAACAGG